RNAcentral lists this ribosomal RNA (497 nucleotides) under uncultured bacterium. Its description in RNAcentral is "partial 16S ribosomal RNA". It matches the Rfam family "Bacterial small subunit ribosomal RNA", at positions 28 to 507 of the family's 1533-position model. The record is from RNAcentral.
GAUGAACGCUGGCGGCGUGCCUAAUACAUGCAAGUCGAGCGAACAGACGAGGAGCUUGCUCCUCUGACGUUAGCGGCGGACGGGUGAGUAACACGUGGAUAACCUACCUAUAAGACUGGGAUAACUUCGGGAAACCGGAGCUAAUACCGGAUAAUAUAUUGAACCGCAUGGUUCAAUAGUGAAAGACGGUUUUGCUGUCACUUAUAGAUGGAUCCGCGCCGCAUUAGCUAGUUGGUAAGGGAACGGCUUACCAAGGCAACGAUGCGUAGCCGACCUGAGAGGGUGAUCGGCCACACUGGAACUGAGACACGGUCCAGACUCCUACGGGAGGCAGCAGUAGGGAAUCUUCCGCAAUGGGCGAAAGCCUGACGGAGCAACGCCGCGUGAGUGAUGAAGGUCUUCGGAUCGUAAAGCUCUGUUAUUAGGGAAGAACAAAUGUGUAAGUAACUAUGCACGUCUUGACGGUACCUAAUCAGAAAGCCACGGCUAACUACGUG